CCCUUAGAUGCUCUGGGCCGCACGCGCGCUACACUGGUCGAUGCAACGAGUUUCUUUCCUUGGCCGACAGGCCUGGGCAAUCUUUGAACAUCGAUCGUGAUCGGGAUAGAUUCUUGUAAUUUUUGAUCUUAAACGAGGAAUUCCUAGUAAACGCAAGUCAUCAGCUUGCAUUGAUUACGUCCCUGCCCUUUGUACACACCGCCCGUCGCACCUACCGAUUGAAUGGUCCGGUGAAAUCUCCGGACUGGCGUGAGUCGGAGCAAUCUGACAAACACCGGAAAGUUGAUUAAACCUUACCAUUUAGAGGAAGGUGAANUCGUANCA
RNAcentral lists this ribosomal RNA (324 nucleotides) under uncultured eukaryote. RNAcentral describes it as "partial 18S ribosomal RNA". It matches the Rfam family "Eukaryotic small subunit ribosomal RNA", at positions 1470 to 1796 of the family's 1831-position model. The record is from RNAcentral.